UAUUUACUCCCCCAGCUGUAUUUAAGGAGAGAGGAGAGCACUUCAUGAACCAAACUGUUCCAAUGAGAGAUCUUGCUGUUUGAAAGGUCCCUGAUCCUCUGCAACCAUGAUCAAAUUGUUAAGUGUUGCCAUUGUUGCCGCAUUGUUCUUGGGUAGGUUAAUUAUAAAUAUUACAUGAUCAUAUUUGUAUUUCACCCGGAAUAUACAAA
Notothenia coriiceps (black rockcod) is the source of this 209-nucleotide long non-coding RNA. RefSeq lists it as uncharacterized. The transcript is spliced from 3 exons. Lineage: Eukaryota; Metazoa; Chordata; Actinopteri; Perciformes; Nototheniidae. The record is from RefSeq and is a predicted model, not a curated record.